AAGAGUUUGAUCAUGGCUCAGAUUGAACGCUGGCGGCAGGCCUAACACAUGCAAGUCGAACGGUAACAGGAAGCAGCUUGCUGCUUCGCUGACGAGUGGCGGACGGGUGAGUAAUGUCUGGGAAACUGCCUGAUGGAGGGGGAUAACUACUGGAAACGGUGGCUAAUACCGCAUAACGUCGCAAGACCAAAGAGGGGGACCUUCGGGCCUCUUGCCAUCAGAUGUGCCCAGAUGGGAUUAGCUAGUUGGUGAGGUAACGGCUCACCAAGGCGACGAUCCCUAGCUGGUCUGAGAGGAUGACCAGCCACACUGGAACUGAGACACGGUCCAGACUCCUACGGGAGGCAGCAGUGGGGAAUAUUGCACAAUGGGCGCAAGCCUGAUGCAGCCAUGCCGCGUGUAUGAAGAAGGCCUUCGGGUUGUAAAGUACUUUCAGCGGGGAGGAAGGUGUUGUGGUUAAUAACCGCAGCAAUUGACGUUACCCGCAGAAGAAGCACCGGCUAACUCCGUGCCAGCAGCCGCGGUAAUACGGAGGGUGCAAGCGUUAAUCGGAAUUACUGGGCGUAAAGCGCACGCAGGCGGUCUGUCAAGUCGGAUGUGAAAUCCCCGGGCUCAACCUGGGAACUGCAUUCGAAACUGGCAGGCUUGAGUCUUGUAGAGGGGGGUAGAAUUCCAGGUGUAGCGGUGAAAUGCGUAGAGAUCUGGAGGAAUACCGGUGGCGAAGGCGGCCCCCUGGACAAAGACUGACGCUCAGGUGCGAAAGCGUGGGGAGCAAACAGGAUUAGAUACCCUGGUAGUCCACGCCGUAAACGAUGUCUACUUGGAGGUUGUGCCCUUGAGGCGUGGCUUCCGGAGCUAACGCGUUAAGUAGACCGCCUGGGGAGUACGGCCGCAAGGUUAAAACUCAAAUGAAUUGACGGGGGCCCGCACAAGCGGUGGAGCAUGUGGUUUAAUUCGAUGCAACGCGAAGAACCUUACCUGGUCUUGACAUCCACAGAACUUUCCAGAGAUGGAUUGGUGCCUUCGGGAACUGUGAGACAGGUGCUGCAUGGCUGUCGUCAGCUCGUGUUGUGAAAUGUUGGGUUA
RNAcentral lists this ribosomal RNA (1086 nucleotides) under Salmonella enterica. RNAcentral describes it as "bacterial SSU rRNA". It matches the Rfam family "Bacterial small subunit ribosomal RNA", at positions 1 to 1082 of the family's 1533-position model. The record is from RNAcentral. Lineage: Bacteria; Pseudomonadati; Pseudomonadota; Gammaproteobacteria; Enterobacterales; Enterobacteriaceae.